RNAcentral lists this ribosomal RNA (253 nucleotides) under uncultured bacterium. RNAcentral describes it as "partial 16S ribosomal RNA". It matches the Rfam family "Bacterial small subunit ribosomal RNA", at positions 524 to 776 of the family's 1533-position model. The record is from RNAcentral.
UACGAAGGGGGCUAGCGUUGCUCGGAAUCACUGGGCGUAAAGCGCGUGUAGGCGGCCCGGUAAGUCCGCUGUGAAAGUCGGGGGCUCAACCCUCGAAUGCCGGUGGAUACUGUCGGGCUAGAGUACGGAAGAGGCGAGUGGAAUUCCUGGUGUAGCGGUGAAAUGCGCAGAUAUCAGGAGGAACACCCAUUGCGAAGGCAGCUCGCUGGGACGUUACUGACGCUGAGACGCGAAAGCGUGGGGAGCAAACAGG